Molecule: non-coding RNA, 75 nt
Organism: Suillus plorans
Lineage: Eukaryota; Fungi; Basidiomycota; Agaricomycetes; Boletales; Suillaceae
Source: the annotation of a RefSeq genome assembly
UUGCUCUCAGCAAAGCGGUCAAUGUGACAGAAUCUAAAUCUGUCAGUGUGGGUUCAAAACCCGCCAAAGAUGAAA